Molecule: transfer RNA, 74 nt
Filed under: Bacillota bacterium
Lineage: Bacteria; Bacillati; Bacillota
Also listed under: 4 other names
Description: tRNA-Gly
Rfam family: tRNA
About the family: Transfer RNA (tRNA) molecules are approximately 80 nucleotides in length. Their secondary structure includes four short double-helical elements and three loops (D, anti-codon, and T loops). Further hydrogen bonds mediate the characteristic L-shaped molecular structure. tRNAs have two regions of fundamental functional importance: the anti-codon, which is responsible for specific mRNA codon recognition, and the 3' end, to which the tRNAs corresponding amino acid is attached (by aminoacyl-tRNA synthetases). tRNAs cope with the degeneracy of the genetic code in two manners: having more than one tRNA (with a specific anti-codon) for a particular amino acid; and 'wobble' base-pairing, i.e. permitting non-standard base-pairing at the 3rd anti-codon position.
Source: RNAcentral
GCAGGUGUAGUUUAAUGGUAAAACGUCUGCUUGCCAUGCAGAUAAUGGGGGUUCGAUUCCCCUCGCUUGCUCCA